CACGAAACUAUGUGAGUUAAUUUUGAUAAGUUAUUAUGUAGCAGAAUAAUAAGAUUAGCUAAAAUUAGGGGUGAGAGGCUUUACAAACAUAGUGAUAUCUUGAUUCUUUUGAAACGUAAUAGUACAUAAACAGAUUUAAAGCAUAAGGUUUUAAAUAAUAAUAAAAUUUAUAUUAAAAUAUAUAGGAUAUAAUAAUCUAUAUAUUACUUACAUAAUAAUUUUAAUUAUAUAAUUGUUAAUUUUAAAAAGAUGUAUGAUAAUUUAAAUAAUAUUAAUAAUGUUGCUAUAAGUAUUAAGGAGAUAUUAAUAGUGAACUCGGCAUUAAGUUUUCAACUGUUUAUCAAAAACAUAGCUGCGUGUAAUUACACGCAGUGUUUUCUGCUCAAUGAAUAUUAAAUAGCCGCAGUACCUUGACUGUGCAAAGGUAGCGUAAUCAUUUGUCUUUUAAUUGGAGUCGUGCAUGAAUGAAUAUAUGGGGACUUUCUUUACCAUUAAUAACUACAGAAAUUACUUAAUGAGUGAAAAUUCUCAUAAUUAAAUAAUAGACGAGAAGACCCUAGAAAUUUAUAUUGGCAUUUUGUUGGGGCAACAUAGUAACAAGUAACUUACUAUAUAUAUAUGAAAUAUAUUAGAUAACUUAAAUUACUCUAGGGAUAACAGCAUAAUAUUAGAAUGUUUGUGACCUCGAUGUUGGAUUAGGGAGUUAUAGCUUAGAA
RNAcentral lists this ribosomal RNA (716 nucleotides) under Setobaudinia rectilabrum. Its description in RNAcentral is "partial 16S ribosomal RNA". The stretch from base 318 to 482 matches the Rfam family "Archaeal large subunit ribosomal RNA", at positions 1876 to 2091 of the family's 2987-position model. Lineage: Eukaryota; Metazoa; Mollusca; Gastropoda; Stylommatophora; Camaenidae. The record is from RNAcentral.